AAUAGAUACCCCGGUAGUCCACGCCGUAAACGAUGAGUGCUAAGUGUUGGGGGGUUUCCGCCCCUCAGGUGCUGCAGCUAACGCAUUAAGCACUCCGCCUGGGGAGUACGGUCGCAAGACUGAAACUCAAAGGAAUUGACGGGGGCCCGCACAAGCGGUGGAGCAUGUGGUUUAAUUCGAAGCAACGCGAAGAACCUUACCAGGUCUUGACAUCCCGGUGACCACUAUGGAGACAUAGUUUCCCCUUCGGGGGCAACGGUGACAGGUGGUGCAUGGUUGUCGUCAGCUCGUGUCGUGAGAUGUUGGGUUAAGUCCCGCAACGAGCGCAACCCUUAUUCUUAGUUGCCAUCAUUCAGUUGGGCACUCUAAGGAGACUGCCGGUGAUAAACCGGAGGAAGGUGGGGAUGACGUCAAAUCAUCAUGCCCCUUAUGACCUGGGCUACACACGUGCUACAAUGGACGGUACAAACGGUUGCCAACCCGCGAGGGGGAGCUAAUCCGAUAAAACCGUUCUCAGUUCGGAUUGUAGGCUGCAACUCGCCUACA
RNAcentral lists this ribosomal RNA (546 nucleotides) under uncultured bacterium. Its description in RNAcentral is "bacterial SSU rRNA". It matches the Rfam family "Bacterial small subunit ribosomal RNA", at positions 777 to 1320 of the family's 1533-position model. The record is from RNAcentral.